This 106-nucleotide ribosomal RNA is filed under the name uncultured bacterium. Its description in RNAcentral is "partial 16S ribosomal RNA". The record is from RNAcentral.
GUACCGUCAUUUUCUUCCCUACUGAAAGCGGUUUACAACCCUAAGGCCUUCUUCCCGCACGCGGCGUUGCUGCAUCAGGCUUGCGCCCAUUGUGCAAGAUUCCCCA